UCCUUUCAGUCAGCAUUAGGGUUUUAAACCCUAAACUGAACCUUUUCCUGUCAGCCAGCAUUAGAGUUUUAAACUCUAAACUGAGCUUUUUCAUGCAAUCAGCAUUAGGGUUUUAAACCCUAAACUGAAUUUUCCUUUUAAUCAGCAUUAGGGUUUUUAACCCUAAACUGAACUUUUUCCUUCCAGCCAGCAUUAGAGUUUUAAACUCUAAACUGAGAUUUUUCAUGCAAUCAGCAUUAGGGUUUUAAACCCUAAACUGAAUUUUCCUUUUAGUCAGCAUUAGGGUUUUAAACCCUAAACUGAACUUUUUCCUUUCAGCCAGCAUUAGGGUUUUAAACUCUAAACUGAGCUUUUUCAUGCAUCAGCAUUAGGGUUUUAAACCUUAAACUGAAUUUUCCUUUUAAUCAGCAUUAGGGUUUUAAACCCUAAACUGAACUUUUUCCUUCCAGCCAGCAUUAGAGUUUUAAACUCUAAACUGAGCUUUUUCAUGCAAUCAGCAUUAGGGUUUUAAACCCCAAACUGAACUUUUCCUUUCAGCCAGCAUUAGGGUUUUAAACUCUAAACUGAGCUUUUUCAUGCAUCAGCAUUAGGGUUUUAAACCGUAAACUGAAUUUUCCUUUCAGCCAGCAUUGGAGUUUUAAACUCUGAACUGAACGUUUUCCUUCCAGCCAGCAUUAGAGUUUUAAACUCUAAACUGAGCUUUUUCAUGCAAUCAGCAUUAGGGGUUUUAAACCCUAAACUGAAUUUUCCUUUCAGCCAGCAUUAGGGUUUUAAACUCUAAACUGAGCUUUUUCAUGCAUCAGCAUUAGGGCUUUAAACCUUAAACUGAAUUUUCCUUUUAAUCAGCAUUAGGGUUUUAAACCAUAAACUGAACUUUUUCCUUCCAGCCAGCAUUAGAGUUUUAAACUCUAAACUGAGCUUUUUCAUGCAAUCAGCAUUAGGGUUUUAAACCCUAAACUGAAUUUUCCUUUCAGCCAGCAUUGGAGUUUUAAACUCUGAACUAAGCUUUUUCAUGCAAUCAGCAUUAGGGUUUUAAACCCUAAACUGAAUUUUCCUUUUAGUUAGCAUCUAGGGUUUUAAACCCUAAACUGAACUUUUUCCCUUUCGGCCAGCAUUAGAGUUUUAAACUUUAAACUGAGUUUUUUUCAUGCAAUCAGCAUUAGGGUUUUAAACCCUAAACUGAGUUUUCCUUUCAGUCAGCAUUAGGGUUUUAAACCCUAAACUGAACUUUUUCCUGUCAGCCAGCAUUAGAGUUUUAAACUCUAAACUGAGCUUUUUCAUGCAAUCAGCAUUAGGGUUUUAAACCCCAAACUGAACUUUUCCCUUUCAGCCAGCAUUAGGGUUUUAAACCCUAAACAUAAUCUUUCU
This 1368-nucleotide long non-coding RNA is filed under the name Nicotiana tabacum (common tobacco). RNAcentral's name for it is "long non-coding RNA (NTAB_LNC011318)". Lineage: Eukaryota; Viridiplantae; Streptophyta; Magnoliopsida; Solanales; Solanaceae. The record is from RNAcentral.